RNAcentral lists this ribosomal RNA (500 nucleotides) under uncultured bacterium. Its description in RNAcentral is "partial 16S ribosomal RNA". It matches the Rfam family "Bacterial small subunit ribosomal RNA", at positions 30 to 523 of the family's 1533-position model. The record is from RNAcentral.
AUUGAACGCUGGCGGCAUGCCUUACACAUGCAAGUCGAACGGUAACAGGGAGCUUGCUCCGCUGACGAGUGGCGAACGGGUGAGUAAUACAUCGGAACGUGCCCUGUAGUGGGGGAUAACUAGUCGAAAGAUUAGCUAAUACCGCAUACGACCUGAGGGUGAAAUUGGGGGACCGCAAGGCCUCAUGCUAUAGGAGCGGCCGAUGUCGGAGUAGCUAGUUGGUGGGGUAAAGGCCUACCAAGGCGACGAUCAGUAGCUGGUCUGAGAGGACGAUCAGCCACACUGGGACUGAGACACGGCCCAGACUCCUACGGGAGGCAGCAGUGGGGAAUUUUGGACAAUGGGCGAAAGCCUGAUCCAGCAAUGCCGCGUGUGUGAAGAAGGCCUUCGGGUUGUAAAGCACUUUUGUCCGGAAAGAAAUGGCUCUGGUUAAUACCUGGGGUCGAUGACGGUACCGGAAGAAUAAGGACCGGCUAACUACGUGCCAGCAGCCGCCGUAA